RNAcentral lists this small RNA (183 nucleotides) under Sinorhizobium meliloti 2011. Its description in RNAcentral is "putative ncRNA". The record is from RNAcentral. Lineage: Bacteria; Pseudomonadati; Pseudomonadota; Alphaproteobacteria; Hyphomicrobiales; Rhizobiaceae.
GCGGCAAUGGAGGUUGCCCGAGGAGGAUCAUAUGAGCGACACCGCUUUUGGGUUUCUGCUAGCGGCUGAACUGUCAGCCUUGCUCUGGACCGCACUGCUCAUGGCCGCCUUCUCGGUUUUCUGACCAUCCGUUCAGCUUUAUCACUCCACUUUUGCGGUGGCCGAGACCGCAAAUACCUCCUU